ACGAACGCUGGCGGCGUGCCUAAUACAUGCAAGUAGAACGCUGAAGAGAGGAGCUUGCUCUUCUUGGAUGAGUUGCGAACGGGUGAGUAACGCGUAGGUAACCUGCCUUGUAGCGGGGGAUAACUAUUGGAAACGAUAGCUAAUACCGCAUAGCAAUGGAUGACACAUGUCAUUUAUUUGAAAGGGGCAAUUGCUCCACUACAAGAUGGACCUGCGUUGUAUUAGCUAGUAGGUGAGGUAAUGGCUCACCUAGGCGACGAUACAUAGCCGACCUGAGAGGGUGAUCGGCCACACUGGGACUGAGACACGGCCCAGACUCCUACGGGAGGCAGCAGUAGGGAAUCUUCGGCAAUGGGGGCAACCCUGACCGAGCAACGCCGCGUGAGUGAAGAAGGUUUUCGGAUCGUAAAGCUCUGUUGUAAGUCAAGAACGGGUGUGAGAGUGGAAAGUUCACACUGUGACGGUAGCUUACCAGAAAGGGACGGCUAACUACGUG
Molecule: ribosomal RNA, 496 nt
Filed under: uncultured bacterium
Lineage: Bacteria
Description: partial 16S ribosomal RNA
Rfam family: Bacterial small subunit ribosomal RNA
Source: RNAcentral